Daphnia magna is the source of this 556-nucleotide long non-coding RNA. RefSeq lists it as uncharacterized. The transcript is spliced from 3 exons. NCBI's taxonomy places the organism in Eukaryota, Metazoa, Arthropoda, Branchiopoda, Diplostraca, Daphniidae. The record is from RefSeq and is a predicted model, not a curated record.
UGUUAGAAAAAUGUUUUAUCACCGAUGUUUCAACCGUCAGGUAGCCAAUGAUGCCUACCCUGUGUCCACCUACUUGGACGACUACUGAUUUUGGAAUUUUCCCAUGAAGCCAAGAGUUCCAGGAAGAAAGUUCAAUCAGAGUUUACAGAGGCAUAAUUGAUUAAAAGAAAAGGUAUUUUUACCGGAUGGUUGGCUGCAUUCACGAACGGUGCCAGCCCCGCCACGCCAUCAUCAAAUUCAUGGUUGCCAAGAGACUACUCAGCACAAAAGGAUGAGGGAAAAAAAUCAAAAAUUAAUUGCUAAAAAUUUCUAAUCCCUACAUGUCGUGCCUGUAAACGUUUUGACAGCACAAUUGAUAAUAAUGAACGUUCAAUAUGUGCUGCCAGGCUUUCCGACGGAUGUGUACAAAGCAUAGGGCGUUUCCCCAUUCGUGGUUGUCUAAACCAGGAAAACGCGCUACAUCAAUAAUUAAGAAACAAAUUUAUCAACGUGAGUGUAAACAAACGGACCGUUAACGCGCUGCCACAUGGGUGGGAAAACUGUCGGCGAUGAUCAC